This 2739-nucleotide ribosomal RNA is filed under the name Staphylococcus aureus S30087. RNAcentral's name for it is "bacterial LSU rRNA". It matches the Rfam family "Bacterial large subunit ribosomal RNA". Lineage: Bacteria; Bacillati; Bacillota; Bacilli; Caryophanales; Staphylococcaceae. The record is from RNAcentral.
ACCCGGAGAACUGAAACAUCUUAGUACCCGGAGGAAGAGAAAGAAAAUUCGAUUCCCUUAGUAGCGGCGAGCGAAACGGGAAGAGCCCAAACCAACAAGCUUGCUUGUUGGGGUUGUAGGACACUCUAUACGGAGUUACAAAGGACGACAUUAGACGAAUCAUCUGGAAAGAUGAAUCAAAGAAGGUAAUAAUCCUGUAGUCGAAAAUGUUGUCUCUCUUGAGUGGAUCCUGAGUACGACGGAGCACGUGAAAUUCCGUCGGAAUCUGGGAGGACCAUCUCCUAAGGCUAAAUACUCUCUAGUGACCGAUAGUGAACCAGUACCGUGAGGGAAAGGUGAAAAGCACCCCGGAAGGGGAGUGAAAUAGAACCUGAAACCGUGUGCUUACAAGUAGUCAGAGCCCGUUAAUGGGUGAUGGCGUGCCUUUUGUAGAAUGAACCGGCGAGUUACGAUUUGAUGCAAGGUUAAGCAGUAAAUGUGGAGCCGUAGCGAAAGCGAGUCUGAAUAGGGCGUUUAGUAUUUGGUCGUAGACCCGAAACCAGGUGAUCUACCCUUGGUCAGGUUGAAGUUCAGGUAACACUGAAUGGAGGACCGAACCGACUUACGUUGAAAAGUGAGCGGAUGAACUGAGGGUAGCGGAGAAAUUCCAAUCGAACCUGGAGAUAGCUGGUUCUCUCCGAAAUAGCUUUAGGGCUAGCCUCAAGUGAUGAUUAUUGGAGGUAGAGCACUGUUUGGACGAGGGGCCCCUCUCGGGUUACCGAAUUCAGACAAACUCCGAAUGCCAAUUAAUUUAACUUGGGAGUCAGAACAUGGGUGAUAAGGUCCGUGUUCGAAAGGGAAACAGCCCAGACCACCAGCUAAGGUCCCAAAAUAUAUGUUAAGUGGAAAAGGAUGUGGCGUUGCCCAGACAACUAGGAUGUUGGCUUAGAAGCAGCCAUCAUUUAAAGAGUGCGUAAUAGCUCACUAGUCGAGUGACACUGCGCCGAAAAUGUACCGGGGCUAAACAUAUUACCGAAGCUGUGGAUUGUCCUUUGGACAAUGGUAGGAGAGCGUUCUAAGGGCGUUGAAGCAUGAUCGUAAGGACAUGUGGAGCGCUUAGAAGUGAGAAUGCCGGUGUGAGUAGCUAAAGACGGGUGAGAAUCCCGUCCACCGAUUGACUAAGGUUUCCAGAGGAAGGCUCGUCCGCUCUGGGUUAGUCGGGUCCUAAGCUGAGGCCGACAGGCGUAGGCGAUGGAUAACAGGUUGAUAUUCCUGUACCACCUAUAAUCGUUUUAAUCGAUGGGGGGACGCAGUAGGAUAGGCGAAGCGUGCGAUUGGAUUGCACGUCUAAGCAGUAAGGCUGAGUAUUAGGCAAAUCCGGUACUCGUUAAGGCUGAGCUGUGAUGGGGAGAAGACAUUGUGUCUUCGAGUCGUUGAUUUCACACUGCCGAGAAAAGCCUCUAGAUAGAAAAUAGGUGCCCGUACCGCAAACCGACACAGGUAGUCAAGAUGAGAAUUCUAAGGUGAGCGAGCGAACUCUCGUUAAGGAACUCGGCAAAAUGACCCCGUAACUUCGGGAGAAGGGGUGCUCUUUAGGGUUAACGCCCAGAAGAGCCGCAGUGAAUAGGCCCAAGCGACUGUUUAUCAAAAACACAGGUCUCUGCUAAACCGUAAGGUGAUGUAUAGGGGCUGACGCCUGCCCGGUGCUGGAAGGUUAAGAGGAGUGGUUAGCUUCUGCGAAGCUACGAAUCGAAGCCCCAGUAAACGGCGGCCGUAACUAUAACGGUCCUAAGGUAGCGAAAUUCCUUGUCGGGUAAGUUCCGACCCGCACGAAAGGCGUAACGAUUUGGGCACUGUCUCAACGAGAGACUCGGUGAAAUCAUAGUACCUGUGAAGAUGCAGGUUACCCGCGACAGGACGGAAAGACCCCGUGGAGCUUUACUGUAGCCUGAUAUUGAAAUUCGGCACAGCUUGUACAGGAUAGGUAGGAGCCUUUGAAACGUGAGCGCUAGCUUACGUGGAGGCGCUGGUGGGAUACUACCCUAGCUGUGUUGGCUUUCUAACCCGCACCACUUAUCGUGGUGGGAGACAGUGUCAGGCGGGCAGUUUGACUGGGGCGGUCGCCUCCUAAAAGGUAACGGAGGCGCUCAAAGGUUCCCUCAGAAUGGUUGGAAAUCAUUCAUAGAGUGUAAAGGCAUAAGGGAGCUUGACUGCGAGACCUACAAGUCGAGCAGGGUCGAAAGACGGACUUAGUGAUCCGGUGGUUCCGCAUGGAAGGGCCAUCGCUCAACGGAUAAAAGCUACCCCGGGGAUAACAGGCUUAUCUCCCCCAAGAGUUCACAUCGACGGGGAGGUUUGGCACCUCGAUGUCGGCUCAUCGCAUCCUGGGGCUGUAGUCGGUCCCAAGGGUUGGGCUGUUCGCCCAUUAAAGCGGUACGCGAGCUGGGUUCAGAACGUCGUGAGACAGUUCGGUCCCUAUCCGUCGUGGGCGUAGGAAAUUUGAGAGGAGCUGUCCUUAGUACGAGAGGACCGGGAUGGACAUACCUCUGGUGUACCAGUUGUCGUGCCAACGGCAUAGCUGGGUAGCUAUGUGUGGACGGGAUAAGUGCUGAAAGCAUCUAAGCAUGAAGCCCCCCUCAAGAUGAGAUUUCCCAACUUCGGUUAUAAGAUCCCUCAAAGAUGAUGAGGUUAAUAGGUUCGAGGUGGAAGCAUGGUGACAUGUGGAGCUGACGAAUACUAAUCGAUCGAAGACUUAAUCAA